Molecule: ribosomal RNA, 254 nt
Filed under: uncultured bacterium
Lineage: Bacteria
Description: partial 16S ribosomal RNA
Rfam family: Bacterial small subunit ribosomal RNA
Source: RNAcentral
UACGGGGGGAGCAAGCGUUGUUCGGAUUUACUGGGCGUAAAGGGCGCGUAGGCGGUCAGCACAAGUCAGUUGUGAAAUCUCCGAGCUUAACUCGGAAAGGUCAACUGAUACUGUGCGACUAGAGUGCGGAAGGGGCAACUGGAAUUCUCGGUGUAGCGGUGAAAUGCGUAGAUAUCGAGAGGAACACCUGCGGCGAAGGCGGGUUGCUGGGCCGACACUGACGCUGAGGCGCGAAAGCCAGGGGAGCGAACGGG